Molecule: microRNA, 21 nt
Filed under: Monodelphis domestica (gray short-tailed opossum)
Lineage: Eukaryota; Metazoa; Chordata; Mammalia; Didelphimorphia; Didelphidae
Description: mdo-miR-12407-5p
Source: miRBase by way of RNAcentral
UGUGCUGCCUCGCUGCCUCAC